CAGUAGCCGCGGUAAUACGAAGGGGGCUAGCGUUGUUCGGAAUCACUGGGCGUAAAGGGUGCGUAGGCGGGAUCUUAAGUCAGGGGUGAAAUCCCGAGGCUCAACCUCGGAACUGCCUUUGAUACUGGGGUCCUUGGGUCCGGAAGAGGUGAGUGGAACUGCGAGUGUAGAGGUGAAGUUCGUAGAUAUUCGCAAGAACACCGGUGGCGAAGGCGGCUCACUGGUCCGGAACUGACGCUGAGGCACGACAGCGUGGGGAGCAAACAGGAUUAGAUACCCGCGUAGUCCCUGUCUCUUAUAC
This 301-nucleotide ribosomal RNA is filed under the name uncultured bacterium. RNAcentral describes it as "partial 16S ribosomal RNA". It matches the Rfam family "Bacterial small subunit ribosomal RNA", at positions 509 to 807 of the family's 1533-position model. The record is from RNAcentral.